GUGGGGAAUCUUGCGCAAUGGGCGAAAGCCUGAUCCAGCCAUGCCGCGUGUGUGAAGAAGGUCUUCGGAUUGUAAAGCACUUUAAGUUGGGAGGAAGGGCAGUAAGUUAAUACCUUGCUGUUUUGACGUUACCGACAGAAUAAGCACCGGCUAACUUCGUGCCAGCAGCCGCGGUAAUACGAAGGGUGCAAGCGUUAAUCGGAAUUACUGGGCGUAAAGCGCGCGUAGGUGGUUUUGUAAGUUGGAGGUGAAAUCCCCGGGCUCAACCUGGGAACUGCCUCCAAAACUGCAUGACUAGAGUACGGUAGAGGGUAGUGGAAUUUCCUGUGUAGCGGUGAAAUGCGUAGAUAUAGGAAGGAACACCAGUGGCGAAGGCGACUACCUGGACUGAUACUGACACUGAGGUGCGAAAGCGUGGGGAGCAAACAGGAUUAGAAACCCCGGUAGUCC
RNAcentral lists this ribosomal RNA (450 nucleotides) under uncultured bacterium. RNAcentral's name for it is "partial 16S ribosomal RNA". It matches the Rfam family "Bacterial small subunit ribosomal RNA", at positions 354 to 796 of the family's 1533-position model. The record is from RNAcentral.